AGCACACAAGCUAAGGCAUUCCUAGGUUGAUUAUCUACUAGAAUAUAAGUACACAAGCCAACCACUAACUAUAUCAAAUGAGAUAUUAUCAAAUGAGAUGCCUUUGUGGUGCGGUUGUUUCUUCCACAUGCAAGCUCUAGGCAUUCUUGGGUUGUUCACAAUGUAGGCUUGGUGGCUAGGGCUCAAAAAUCCUCAUAGAUCCAACACUGUAAAAAAAGCAAAAAGUAAGAAGCCAAAGAAAUUGUAAUAUUGUUGUAGACACCCCAUUUUAAAUCUGACAAAUUCUAUGAUUUUCUGAACCCUUAGGACUACAUUAUCCUAUUAGACCCAAUUUAAUUAUCCCAAAACUACCCAAAUCCUAUCUCAAUUUGAAGUAGAGCCCAAGAGCUUUCCAACGGUCUAAGAAUCGCUUGAAUUGGACCUACGGAUAAAAAGAUAGAACAAAUAAUAAUUUAGUCCCUGUGAGACCCAACUGUCGGGCGGUGGGUUGAGCUGUAACGACAGGCCCAAACGCGGGCAGAUGAUGCAGUCAAUAUAUCUGAUGAUGCAGUAAAGGCAUUUUUUUUAAUUAGAUAAGGC
RNAcentral lists this long non-coding RNA (579 nucleotides) under Amborella trichopoda. Its description in RNAcentral is "long non-coding RNA (ATRI_LNC001667)". Lineage: Eukaryota; Viridiplantae; Streptophyta; Magnoliopsida; Amborellales; Amborellaceae. The record is from RNAcentral.